Molecule: ribosomal RNA, 254 nt
Filed under: uncultured bacterium
Lineage: Bacteria
Description: partial 16S ribosomal RNA
Rfam family: Bacterial small subunit ribosomal RNA
Source: RNAcentral
CACGUAGGGUGCGAGCGUUGUCCGGAAUUAUUGGGCGUAAAGAGCUCGUAGGCGGUGUGUCGCGUCGGCCGUGAAAACCUGCAGCUUAACUGUGGGCUUGCGGUCGAUACGGGCAUCACUGGAGUUCGGCAGGGGAGACUGGAAUUCCUGGUGUAGCGGUGAAAUGCGCAGAUAUCAGGAGGAACACCGGUGGCGAAGGCAGGUCUCUGGGCCACUACUGACGCUGAGAAGCGAAAGCAUGGGGAGCGAACAGG